GAAGACUCAUGCUGAGAGAGCAGUGAGGGUCUCUCCUUCUGGAAUCGUCAAAGAGAGAAGUUCUUUCUCUGGAUUGACUGUGAUAUUUAGAGCACAGGAGAUGAAAAAGGUUGCAGUGGAGAAUUAAACAAAGGAACAUAAGCGUAAUAUCACUGACAUGAUGGAGAAGUGAGUAUCCAUGGGAUUAGGGAGGAGGGCAAUAGCAUUGAGUGGGAAAAAAAGGGGCAUAUAGGAUUUGAAGAAAGAGCAUGAGAUUUGAAAUAUAAAAUUCUCAUUUCAGAUUCUGGUCCAUAUUUCUCAUGUGCUUCCUCAUUUGCAAAAUAAAGGAUUUGAACAAGUUGAUUUCUGAG
RNAcentral lists this long non-coding RNA (350 nucleotides) under Monodelphis domestica (gray short-tailed opossum). RNAcentral's name for it is "lncRNA (ENSMODG00000039787.1)". Lineage: Eukaryota; Metazoa; Chordata; Mammalia; Didelphimorphia; Didelphidae. The record is from RNAcentral.